RNAcentral lists this unclassified non-coding RNA (147 nucleotides) under uncultured Leotiomycetes. Its description in RNAcentral is "sequence contains ITS2". Lineage: Eukaryota; Fungi; Ascomycota; Leotiomycetes. The record is from RNAcentral.
CAACCCUCAAGCUCUGCUUGGUAUUGGGCCCUGCCGCUGGGCAGGCCUUAAAAUCAGUGGCGGUGCCGUCGCGGCUCCAAGCGUAGUACAUCUCUCGCUCUGGAGGCCCGGUGGUGUCUUGCCAGACAACCCCCAAUUGUCUUCUAU